Alosa alosa (allis shad) is the source of this 315-nucleotide long non-coding RNA. RefSeq lists it as uncharacterized. Lineage: Eukaryota; Metazoa; Chordata; Actinopteri; Clupeiformes; Clupeidae. The record is from RefSeq and is a predicted model, not a curated record. The transcript is spliced from 2 exons.
AAAGCACUUGUGUACUUAAAUGAAGGCUCUGAGAAACUCAUAAAGGAAUACCUGGAUCCGGACUGAUGCCCAGAGCCAGAUGGAGAAAACCACCAUCGGGAUCUUUUGUAAUCAAACAUGAGGGUGCCAAUGCCUCCACUAGAAGAUGUAGACAUUAUAGUUGAAUCACUAACAAUGUAACGAAACUAAACAUGCUGUGUUUAGCAGAGAUAUUUUUCUGUUCAUUGCAUUUCUAUUUUACUAAUAAAUGUCCCUGAUGGAUUGAUGAGAAUGGAGACAAAGGUUGCUGCUAAAUAAAUGCAGAUUUGUUUUGAA